CAGGAAAGAACGAACCGUAAAAGAGCAGUCGUUACAACAUGUCUAUGGAGACACAGUUUCGUAUGCGGUUCAUCCACAGUGUGAAAUUUCCGCGUACGCACGAGUAUCAAAUAUCGCGAAAGAGCUUCUCAGCUUUUAUAAUACGAUGUAUCAAUACGAAACUUCUAACCGGUAUCGUACUCGUACGUGAGGUGUAGAGGGUUAUUCAUCGAUCGAUCAUGUUUUCAAUCUACUGGUCUGUUCGACAAGAAAAAUUCAGUGGUCGUGAAAUCGUUGACGUCGAUCUAGUGGAACGGGAAAGAAUAAAUAGGACGAUCGAGAAAGAGAUCUAACGAUAUGCACCUACUAGCUACGAAAUCUUUGCGGCUGAUUAAGCUCUUCAAAUUAUUGCAAAAAGAAAAAAAAUAACAAUCCCUGGAGUUUCGUAGAAUAAUUUCUUUGAAUUAGUGUUGGAUCUAUUUAAUACCGAUGAAAGAUGACAAAUAUAUAGACUCUAAUAGUAAAUAAAAUAUUAAAUAAGAUGCUAAACGUGUAAAUAGAAUAUUGCAAUACUGUAUCGCAAUACUGAUUAUAGAAGAAACUGCAAAAUUUAUUUGAAAAUAUUAAACAGCGUUUCACGAAGAAUACAAAGCUGAGAGUUUUAUUAUCGCAAACAAUCAGAGUUCAAGAUAAGACGAAUAAAUUGGAAAAAUAAACUGCAGUUAGAGAGUCAUUCAAUUUUAUGAGUUCUUAACAACCAUGCGCUGGCUCAGCAGUGAAAACAGUCGAGACGAGGUAAAAAGGAGAAAUUAUUUCACUCUGCAAAAAGGAACUAAUAAGCAAUUUUCUAGCGGUUGUGGAGGAUCAGAAUAUGAAAUUGCAGAAAUAUUCGCAGUUGGGUAAUAAUAAAUGUGUUUGAGAAUAAUUGUUAAUUAUAAAUUUAUAUUCAUAUUCGAUCAAACAAAUUUGAUUAAAUUGAUUUUCUUUUCUUGCAUUCUCCGUUACUAGGUUUUUAAUACUAACUUCUUGGUCACAAACUCAUAACAUUUUAGAUUUUACAAUAAAGUAAGUGACAGCCUUGAUUACGUCUCGAUGAUUGGCUUCCGAUUUUCUCUGUUUUCUAUGUUCCAAGAGGAAUCCAGCGUCUCUUUCAGCCCUUUUAGGGUAUUAACCAUCGACGAGUGUGUUUAUGCGUUCGUGCAUUACACACGAUAAUGUAUCGCGGAUGGUGCAUCGUACGCAUAAAACAUCCGGACAGUCUAAACAAUCCAACGUAUCGUAAACCGCCCCAAAUAAAUCGCGCCGUGUUUUGCGUACGCAUAUAUAUUAGUAGGUUUCAUGGUAGAUGGACAAAAAUUUAUCCGUCGAUUCGAGUUCAUUCUGGGAAUGGAAUUUUGGAAUGAAAUUCGCGGAAUAUGAUUCUAGACAAUUCUCAAUUCUUGUAUAGGAAUAUAACUACGGAAGUGGAAUUUGCACGAGUAUCUCAUUUUUUAUAUAGUUUACAUAUUUUUCCACUUUACGCGCAUUCUCUAUAUUUUAUUUCGCAUCUCGUUACAACGCGAAUGUGGAAAUAUUUCAUACGACGCGCAUGACACAUUCAUAGAAAUUUUCUGUGAUAAAUGUUCGAAUACUUUUGUGAAUCACUGUAGGGCAUAAACUAAAAUAUUAAAAAAUAUUCCUUAUAUUUUUUAUAACAUCAAGAACUCUUGUAUUCGCCUAGUACAAGAAAAAUAUAGAAAUACAAAUAUAAAUAUACGGACUUUAGAACGUUGUUGAAAUAAAUCAUAAAAAUUUUGCAUUAAUUUAUUUUUCCUAUCAAUCGAGAGAUAUCUGAUAGUAAAAUUGCGACAAAUUUCGGACUAAAAUCGGAGUAAUGGUAGCCGUGAUGAUAGCCAUGACGGGAGCAAGUUCGUGAAAGUAUUGUCUUUUCCCGCGUCUCAUUCACAUUUAUUAGGUCAUCCCAUAAGUUCGUGCCGACUUUUGUGUACAUGUAUAUGACUCAUGUGUCGAUUUCUAAACAUACGGCGAUAAGGGACCAAUGCGCUUGAAAAAUGGGAAGAAGUUGUACAACGUGAGGGGAAUUACAUUUUUUCAUGAAACUGAAAGUUUAUCGUGUAUUUCGAGAAAAAGUAGAUCGAUCGUUACGAAUCUACCAAGGUUGGCCAGAAGAUCAGGUGUUACACGCCUCUUAAGACAGUCAACUAACUAUUGCGUUUCGCCAGAACCAUGGAGUAUCACAUCUUGCAACGAGAGAAAACACGUUGAAAUACGCGCAAUGCUCCGACGAUGAUUCAACCUUUGGUUCGAGUAAAUGUUACCAAAACGAAUGUCCACACCGAUAGCUUCCGCCAGACACCUAUAUGCGCGCCCACAGCACUCAAAGGGUUAGGAGUACAACAGAUAAGGCAAAUGUUGAGGUGUACGACAGCAAAGGAAGUAGGGAAGAGAGGAGAGAGAAACAAACUAGCAACCCAACCUAACCCCAACCUAGACACCUAUAUGCGCCCACAGCACUCAAAGGGUCAAUUCUCGGUGAGUUUUUUGCGUAUCAUUGCUAUUAUUAUUGUUUUGGUAUAAUUUUGGAAUGAAUGAAAGUGCAGAAGAAGACACACAUAUUGGCAAUUAGAGAAGGUCGAAGGGAUUAAAAAAUUAUGGUGGAGGCGUUAAAGAGAAUUCAAGGUCAUCUUGUUUUCUGACGCUGGACGUUAUAUUUAAUGUUAAUAUGUAGGGCGGCAGCCAUUUUUAAAAUCGGAUUAACGAUUUAUCGCCGAAGGUCAUUUGUAGUUUCGCUUCUUAACUUGUCGAUAAGACGAGCCUCGAGAUUACUUGGCUUUAAGAUGCGUACGUGAUUCUAUAUGAUUAUAGGUCAGUGAAACUUGUAACCAUAAAGUAUGAACUUACAGAUUAUAAUUACAUACAACUUCUUCUCUAAAACUGUUUUCUUCUUUGAAUAGAAUGUGUGCUCAAUUUUCUGACAUACAAUCUAUUCGUCAUACGAAGAUAUAUCAAAAUUUUAUAAUUAUAUGACAGUAAGUGCUAUUAAAUGAUACGAAAUUUGAUAUAAUCGAAUGUAAUUAAUUAGUAUAUGAAUGCAAAAAAAUAGCUGCAGUGUUGUACAAAUACUUUUUGUAGCCACUGCAUACGUUCAUUCCUAAGUUAAGAAUAUUUACGAAAAUUUAAGUAAAUCUGAAAAGUUAGCUAAGAUAUUUGCUACAUAUAGCUGAAAUUUUCGAUUAAAUUUAAUCGCCUAAGCGAUUCAAUUAUCGAAAAACAUUCUAAUCUAAACGCGAUAUUAAAUAGAAAACUAACUAAAAAUCCAAUGCUCUUGUGUCCGCGUACGUGCGGACACUUGAACAACCAUUGAAAUUGAUUUGAAAUGAAACACUUGAAAAUUAGAAAUUUUGAAACAGAACGAUGAAAAUCGGUAAGCACGAUGAAAUAAGAUAAAUAGCAUAUGAUCGAUAGUUAAAAUCCACAAAGUGCUGUUUACUUUCCUAAUUAAGAUGGAAAGAUAGAUAUUCAUAAACCACUAAUUGGAAACGUUCUCCGAAUCAGAGUUGUACGGAGGAAAUUGCCUCGAGCUAUUUCCUUCGAGAUCGUUUCAGACUGGCUGAAGAGGUUCCGCCCGAAAGCGCCAAAUUAGGACACGCAGCAUAGCCUACAGCGACAUAGAAGUUACUUACGUAAUCGCCUCUGAACGAAAUCGAUUUGUAUCAUCAUAUUUGAUUCCACUUGUCGAGAGAGGUUUGGACGAAACGCAGACACUCGUUUACAGAUAUCGCAUGGCGCGUGUAACCUUUCACUUUCGACAAAAACUACGCAUCAAAGCGUUGCAGAACGGCAAAUGGUGGAAGCGCGUGCAGCUAACGGCUGCGUGUUACGGUGUAACGAGCCACCGUAGGCAACUUUUAACCCUUUCCCUAGGAUAAAUCGAUUUUCAAUCGAAAAUUUGAAGAUCGCGCGCAGCCUUCUGCUGAUUAAUUGAAAUAUUCAGCUAAUGUACGUUAUUCAUCGCUGAAUUUAAGCUUGAACUUCUGAACGUCGAAAAUACCGAACAGCGCGACAGCGUUUGUCUUAAUCGAUUGCGAAGAGAAACAAGCCGUCAUAUUUCUUACUUUGUGAAAUACAUCUAUAUUAUUAUAUAUACGUACUAUUAGUUUAUAAAUGUUCCAAGUUUUGUUCAAUAAAAAUUAUCGAGAAAAUAACGAUGAAAUAGAAAAUACCGUCAGUCGUCCAUAACGUUCAAAUGUAUUGGGACUUUUCGACACAAAAUCUAAACAGCACGAUCGUGUCACACACUCAAGAAGGUCACACGCUCAGAAACAGUAAUAGGAUAGGCUAGACAUUUUGCAUACCACAACCAUCGAAACAAUAACCAAAUGGUAACGGAAUAGGCGCCUCUGAUAUACACCAGACGAUAAACCUUCCAGAGGGACUAAAACCUCGGUAUAAAAACCCUUCGAAAUAAGCGCUCAAAUCAGUCUGUUGUAACACUUUGAACCGUCACUCUGUUGGAUUUGUAUAAUAAAUUGUAUUACCAUAUACAAAGUUCGAUUUCUUCGCCUUAUUGCGAACCGUUCGAACUGCGACGCGAGGAGAUCAUCGGCGACCUAUCAUUUUCGUGAUUUCUCGUGUCUACGAGAUAAUCGCGCUGCUUGGGACUCAAACGGUUAAUUAAUACUUUAACGUUAUUUUAAUAUUAUUUUUUAUAUAAAAUUUGACGUUACAUUAAGAUUCUAAUUUAACCCUUUCGAGGCGGAUUUUUCCUUUCAAUAACAAUAUGUAUAAUAAUACAAGGAUAUUGAUUAACUGAUGUUUGAAAAAAGGAAAUAAAAGGAUUUCGUAAUUUUCAAAAUAGAAUAUUUGGUCCCAUUUAUCACGAGAACUACGUAUCUUGGUGAUAUCAGAAAAAUUUUAACGAUCAGGCAGUCUGUCUAAAAAAUACUUUGAAAUUGAUCGUACCAUUACCUAAUCUCGAGAAGCUUAACGUGGAUUUUUUAAAUUAAAAAACUUGAAAUUCUUGCAGAUUGGAGAACAAAAUUAUAUUCUAUUAUAGUAGUAAACGAGAUUGUUAGAAUAAUCUUCAAUAUAUUUAUAUAUUGUAUCGAAGAAGUUAUAUAUCCUCGAAUUACCAUUUAUCAUUUCGAUCCACAUCUUAGUAACUAACAUACUAAACACAGAGCUUCGAAGCAACAUUUAAAAUCGCAACAGCUAAAAGAAAGCUAACGAAAUAUAUUCCAAAGUUAACAGUUUAUUGAAAUUUAAUCAGACACAAGCAUCGUUCACAAUCUAACGGAAACACUGGUAUGCAAAGAAAUCUAUUCUUUUUCCUCGGCCACAAAUUAUUGCGUGAGAAUCGAAUAUCGUUAGAUGUUAACUGCUUCCAUUUACAAUUGUAUGAGGCACGAUUGUCAGAUUCGUUUCCUUUGAUAUUUACAUACAUUAAGCGUGGUAUUUUAGAAAAGCAGGUAAUAAUGCCGGUGAAACAAUAGAGAGCAGUUACUGUCAGGAAUUUUUGAUCGAUGUGAAUCAGUUAACGUGAUUAAAGAGACGUCGUGUCUGAUGAAAAAGCAUCGAAGUUGAGAGUAUCGAUCGUAGAUGAACCUGCGAAUUAUUUUAUAUUAAUAAUGCUAAGGAAAGUGUUGGAAGAUAUCUGCUAAUAUUUUACAACUACAGCAAAGUUUCGAUUAUCCGAACAAUAUUGCACUCUCUCUCUGUAUAUCAACGUCUUAUUGUUCGAUCGCGUUAUCGUAUUCGGAUCAUCGUUAGACACUGACGUAUCAACUAAAUGACACGAAUCAAUUAACUGGUAUUGAAAGACGAAAAGAAGAUCAUCUUGUUGAAGUGAAAAGUUCAACAAAAUAGUUGUAACUCGACUUGUAAAAUAAGAAAAUAAGAGAAACAGAUUAAAAGACGAAAGAAAGAAAUUACAGCAUAAAUUGGUAUUUAAAAGCUUUUUAUCUAAAAACAUGUGUUCCAUUGAGUUUUAUAGGACUCAAAAAUCUUAAAAAAGUUAGCAUAGAAUUCUACUUGGGUAGAAAAUUCUUUCGUCAAAAAUGUAUCAAGAUGAAAUAAAUUACUAUUAACAGAUGAUAUCUAGUCUACAUAAUUACAAAGUAAUCGCAAAUACGUGUUUAUUUUCUAACUAAUUGAUUCGAAUAAUAAUAAUCGAGAUUCUACGUUCUACUAUAAAGAUAGAAGAACUUACAAAGGCGUAAAAUAGGAUGUACUCGUAAUGUUUGUGAAUCAAUUGAAUGGACUUCCCAAUGAAUGAGAUGAUUCUAUCAAAAGUGUCUAUUAUGUACAUACAUUGAUUUAGGCUACUGAAUGAAAUUCAAUUGAAAUGCAAUUCGAUCAAUCUCACUUGCUAAUUUAGCUAUACUGAAAAUUCAGUAUAAAUCAAUGGAUCUAUUCUUCGUAUAAAAUAAAUUUGUAUUCUAUUAUUCAGAUACAGUAUAUUAUAAAUUAUACAUUAAUAGAGUUUGUCUCAUUGUGUAUAACAUUCAAUGAAUAUAUACACAAUCAUGAUCCUAUUAAAGAAUUCAGUUUGACCCAAAUAGAUUUGCUUUUCAUAGAAAUUUCUAUUACCUUAUUCUUCGAAUGUACCGAUGAGUCUUACAAUAUUCAAUA
Bombus terrestris (buff-tailed bumblebee) is the source of this 6609-nucleotide long non-coding RNA. RefSeq lists it as uncharacterized. Lineage: Eukaryota; Metazoa; Arthropoda; Insecta; Hymenoptera; Apidae. The transcript has 5 exons. The record is from RefSeq and is a predicted model, not a curated record.